Molecule: ribosomal RNA, 497 nt
Filed under: uncultured bacterium
Lineage: Bacteria
Description: partial 16S ribosomal RNA
Rfam family: Bacterial small subunit ribosomal RNA
Source: RNAcentral
GAUGAACGCUGGCGGCGUGCCUAAUACAUGCAAGUCGAGCGAACGGACGAGAAGCUUGCUUAUCUGAUGUUAGCGGCGGACGGGUGAGUAACACGUGGAUAACCUACCUAUAAGACUGGGAUAACUUCGGGAAACCGUAGCUAAUACCGGAUAAUAUUUUGAACCGCAUGGUUCAAAAGUGAAAGACGGUCUUGCUGUCACUUAUAGAUGGAUCCGCGCUGCAUUAGCUAGUUGGUAAGGUAACGGCUUACCAAGGCAACGAUGCAUAGCCGACCUGAGAGGGUGAUCGGCCACACUGGAACUGAGACACGGUCCAGACUCCUACGGGAGGCAGCAGUAGGGAAUCUUCCGCAAAGGGCGAAAGCCUGACGGAGCAACGCCGCGUGAGUGAUGAAGGUCUUCGGAUCGUAAAACUCUGUUAUUAGGGAAGAACAUAUGUGUAAGUAACUGUGCACAUCUUGACGGUACCUAAUCAGAAAGCCACGGCUAACUACGUG